Molecule: ribosomal RNA, 256 nt
Filed under: uncultured Actinomycetes bacterium
Lineage: Bacteria; Bacillati; Actinomycetota; Actinomycetes
Description: uncultured actinobacterium partial 16S ribosomal RNA
Rfam family: Bacterial small subunit ribosomal RNA
Source: RNAcentral
GACGAACGCUGGCGGCGUGCUUAACACAUGCAAGUCGAGCGAGGUCCAACCGGUGGCAACACCGGGGACGGCCUAGCGGCGAACGGGUGAGUAACACGUGAGCAACCUGCCCCGAAGACUGGGAUAACACCGGGAAACCGGUGCUAAUACCGGAUACCCCCAUCUGGCCGCAUGACCGGAUGAGGAAACGAAUUUUGCUUCGGGAGGGGCUCGCGGGCUAUCAGCUUGUUGGUGGGGUAACGGCUCACCAAGGCGA